RNAcentral lists this ribosomal RNA (443 nucleotides) under uncultured bacterium. Its description in RNAcentral is "partial 16S ribosomal RNA". It matches the Rfam family "Bacterial small subunit ribosomal RNA", at positions 338 to 795 of the family's 1533-position model. The record is from RNAcentral.
CCUACGGGUGGCAGCAGUGGGGAAUAUUGGGCAAUGGGCGCAAGCCUGACCCAGCAACGCCGCGUGAAGGAAGAAGGCUUUCGGGUUGUAAACUUCUUUUCUGAGGGACGACGAAAGUGACGGUACCUCAGGAAUAAGCCACGGCUAACUACGUGCCAGCAGCCGCGGUCAUACGUAGGUGGCAAGCGUUAUCCGGAUUGAUUGGGGGUAAAGGGCGUGGAAGCGGGAAAGCAAGGCAGAUGUGAAAACUCAGGGCUCAAACCUGAGCCUGCAAUUGAAACUGGUGUUCUUGAGUGCUGGAGAGGCAAGCGGAAUGCCGUGUGUAGCGGUGAAAUGCGGAGAUAUACGGAGGAACACCAGUGGCGAAGGCGGAUUGCUGGACAGUAACUGACGCUGAGGCGCGAAAGCGUGGGGAGCAAACAGGAUUAGAUACCCUAGUAGUC